RNAcentral lists this ribosomal RNA (451 nucleotides) under uncultured bacterium. Its description in RNAcentral is "partial 16S ribosomal RNA". It matches the Rfam family "Bacterial small subunit ribosomal RNA", at positions 354 to 796 of the family's 1533-position model. The record is from RNAcentral.
GUGGGGAAUAUUGGACAAUGGGCGGAAGCCUGAUCCAGCCAUGCCGCGUGUGUGAAGAAGGCCUUUUGGUUGUAAAGCACUUUAAGCGAGGAGGAGGCUCUUAAGGUUAAUACCCUUGAUGAGUGGACGUUACUCGCAGAAUAAGCACCGGCUAACUCUGUGCCAGCAGCCGCGGUAAUACAGAGGGUGCGAGCGUUAAUCGGAUUUACUGGGCGUAAAGCGUGCGUAGGCGGCUGAUUAAGUCGGAUGUGAAAUCCCUGAGCUUAACUUAGGAAUUGCAUUCGAUACUGGUCAGCUAGAGUAUGGGAGAGGAUGGUAGAAUUCCAGGUGUAGCGGUGAAAUGCGUAGAGAUCUGGAGGAAUACCGAUGGCGAAGGCAGCCAUCUGGCCUAAUACUGACGCUGAGGUACGAAAGCAUGGGGAGCAAACAGGAUUAGAAACCCGGGUAGUCC